AUACGCGUGUGUGAAGAAGGCCUUAGGGUUGUAAAGCACUUCAAUUGGAAGGAAAACCUCGAAGCUAAUAUCUUCGAGUUUGACAUUACCUUUAGAAGAAGCACCGGCUAACUCCGUGCCAGCAGCCGCGGUAAUACGGAGGGUGCAAGCGUUAAUCGGAAUUACUGGGCGUAAAGCGUGCGUAGGCGGCUCGUUAAGUCAGAUGUGAAAGCCCUGGGCUCAACCUGGGAACUGCAUUUGAAACUGGCAAGCUAGAGUUUAAGAGAGGUAAGUGGAAUUUCAGGUGUAGCGGUGAAAUGCGUAGAGAUCUGAAGGAACACCAGUGGCGAAGGCGACUUACUGGCUUAAAACUGACGCUGAGGUACGAAAGCGUGGGUAGCAAACAGGAUUAGAUACCCUGGUAGUCCACGCCGUAAACAAUGUCAACUAGCCGUUGGCUCUCUUAGAGAGUUAGUGGCGCAGCUAACGCAUUAAGUUGACCGCCUGGGGAGUACGACCGCAAGGUUAAAACUCAAAUGAAUUGACGGGGGCCCGCACAAGCGGUGGAGCAUGUGGUUUAAUUCGAUGCAACGCGAAGAACCUUAACUGGCCUUGACAUCCAGAGAA
This 606-nucleotide ribosomal RNA is filed under the name uncultured bacterium. Its description in RNAcentral is "bacterial SSU rRNA". It matches the Rfam family "Bacterial small subunit ribosomal RNA", at positions 395 to 995 of the family's 1533-position model. The record is from RNAcentral.